UGGGGAAUAUUGGACAAUGGGCGCAAGCCUGAUCCAGCCAUGCCGCGUGAGUGAUGAAGGCCCUAGGGUUGUAAAGCUCUUUCACCGGUGAAGAUAAUGACGGUAACCGGAGAAGAAGCCCCGGCUAACUUCGUGCCAGCAGCCGCGGUAAUACGAAGGGGGCUAGCGUUGUUCGGAUUUACUGGGCGUAAAGCGCACGUAGGCGGACUUUUAAGGCAGGGGUGAAAUCCCGGGGCUCAACCCCGGAACUGCCUUUGAUACUGGAAGUCUUGAGUAUGGUAGAGGUGAGUGGAAUUCCGAGUGUAGAGGUGAAAUUCGUAGAUAUUCGGAGGAACACCAGUGGCGAAGGCGGCUCACUGGACCAUUACUGACGCUGAGGUGCGAAAGCGUGGGGAGCAAACAGG
Molecule: ribosomal RNA, 404 nt
Filed under: Brucella melitensis
Lineage: Bacteria; Pseudomonadati; Pseudomonadota; Alphaproteobacteria; Hyphomicrobiales; Brucellaceae
Also listed under: 1 other name
Description: partial 16S ribosomal RNA
Rfam family: Bacterial small subunit ribosomal RNA
Source: RNAcentral